GCCGGGGUUGUCGCUGANUCUUGAAAGGGUCGUGCACACCUCGGUGCUCUCGCACAUAAUCCAUCUCACCCCCUUUGUGCAUCACCGCGUGGGGACCCCUUUUGGCUAGUUCUAAGGGGGGUCUUCACGUUUUUACAAAAAUGCAAUAUGUGUAGAAUGUCUUACUUUUUGCGAUCACACGCAAUCAAUACAACUUUCAACAACGGAUCUCUUGGCUCUCGCAUCGAUGAAGAACGCAGCGAAAUGCGAUACGUAAUGUGAAUUGCAGAAUUCAGUGAAUCAUCGAAUCUUUGAACGCACCUUGCGCCCUUUGGCAUUCCGAAGGGCACACCCGUUUGAGUGUCGUGACAUCCUCAAACCUUCUUGGUUUCUUGACCAGAAAGGCUUUGGACUUUGGAGGUUUUUGCUGGCCUCCCUUUGUUGGAGCCAGCUCCUCUGAAAUAAAUUAGUGGGGUCUACUUUGCCGAUCCUUGACGUGAUAAGAUGUUUUCUACGUCUCGGGUUUCGCACUGUUCCCGCUCCUAACCGUCUCACAGAAGACAAAUGGUCAAGUGAUUGCCACUUGACCCACGAACCUUGACCUCAAAUCGGGUGAGACUACCCGCUGAACUUAAGCAUAUCAAUAANGCGGAG
RNAcentral lists this ribosomal RNA (633 nucleotides) under uncultured fungus. RNAcentral describes it as "eukaryotic LSU rRNA". The stretch from base 192 to 345 matches the Rfam family "5.8S ribosomal RNA". The record is from RNAcentral. Lineage: Eukaryota; Fungi.